ACAAGGGCUCCUAGUCGUUUUAUUUUUAGCGUAAGGUUUUCCUCUUUAACAAGGAAGUAAAAAAAAAAGUUGUGCAAUAAAUAUUAAUCGUCCUUAUAUGUACUCGGGAACGUUCGUCCUUUAGGUUUUCUCCUGGCGCAUGGGCGCCGCCAAUCAUUUCGGGGCUUAUUUUGGUUCUAAAGCCCGGGGCAGCCAGGCCUCCCUGCCUGGCCUCGGCGGGGACGCGGGACCUGGGGCCCCGGACCGGGCCUAACCGCCCUGGCCGGUCCCCACUGAUGGUGGCGGUCGGUCCUGAUCGUCCUGAUGGCAGCGACCAGGCUGGACUCGGGCUGUGCAGGGGCGAGGGGAGCAGGGCGGGGUGACGCCCGGAGAGCGGCCUGGAGAGCGCGUGCUUCAGAAGGCGUGGGCACCCUGUCCCCUUUGCAGAUGGGGAUGCAGGCCCUGGUGGCGGUGGAGGGGAGAUGGGGGCAGGGACGUUGCCGGGCAGAGGAAGCUGGCCAUUCCUGGGGGAUUCCUGGGAGCCAUGUGGGAGAGGCGUGAGGAAGUGAGACCUUCACCCCGAGACAGGUCCUGACACACCCUCUGGUGCCUCUACUCAAGUGAGAGCUUUGGAAUAAACAGAUUUCCAUAAAGAAAAGCUGCUUUAGAGUGCUACACUGUAAGAGGGGCCGGGCAAACAAGAAGGGACGGAGGAAAGACCACCAAGUGAGAGGCACAGGUGUCAGGACACACAGAGAGCCCGAAAACGAGGCAGAGAAGUUUGGCUGCUGUAACUGACUGGGAAGCUUAAAAUAACAGACAAUCAUCUCUCACAUUUAUGGGGACUGGGAAGUCCAAGACCAAGUUGCCAUCUGGGGAGGGCCUGUUCCUCACAGCGCCUUCCAGCUCAGGCCUCGUUUAUAAGGGCACUCAAGCCUUCCACGACAACGGGUCCUCAUGACUUACUCACCUCGGAAAGCCCCACCCCCAAGACCAUCACAUUGUGGGUGAUGGCAGAGCAUAAGGUGCCUUCCCCACAUGCUCGGGUUGGCCCAGCGUCUCACGCUAGCAGCUACGUGGAAUAGUUAUUUUUUCUGGAGAACUCUGGGACCCCUCUGAUGUCUUGGAGCACCCACACAGGCCGUUCACUGUGCACGCUGUGAGGCUGUCGUCUUGGAGCACCCACACAGGCCGUUCACUGUGCACGUGGUGAGGCUGUCCUCUGGGGAGUUCUGCUGUUGUAUGGGUUCUGUCUGUGUCAAUGUCCCAGCGGGAACGCAGGGCACACUAGCGUCAUCCCCAGAGGGCUUGGUAAGGGGACUGUUUGCAGAGACAUAGGCAGAGGGCUGGAAAACUACCAAAAAAGUGCAGUGUUCUGGACCUAAUAAUAGCAGAGCUAUUCUCACCCUGGUCUGAAGGCAGGAGGGGAGGAGCAGUUAAUGGAUUCUGGAAGUCAGGUUGCACAGAGUCACCUUGAAAGAUGCCAUGACCUUCACCGAGGGCCAGACAGAGACUAAGAUGACCCCAUAGGAGAAUAAGACCUAGACCUCAUCCUCCUGCCUCCUGCCAGUCCCUGCCAGGGGUCGCCAAUGGCAAAACAGGACUGGAAGCCAGAGGCCAUGGAAGCCCAUGGAUGAAGUCCACAGGCCAGCCUCCCCGAGAGCAGCCUGGACGGUCCGCAGGAGACGUCUCCUGUCUUAGGCGUCCCACGCCGCGUGCUCCUGUUCAGCCCUGCCGAGGUGGAAGCUUGGAGUGGCUCACGGUGGAUGCAUUGACGCUGCAGACGCCAGCAAGUGCUACAAACCAGAGCUGGCCUUUAACUCAGACUGAUGGAGAAGGUGUUAAUAAUGCAGAUUAGACUUAAAAGUGUUGAAGCCAUUGCACUGUGAACAGCAAAAAAAUUGAAGAACUCUUCUGGCAUUUAAAAACAAUUACUCAGUUCAGCAGAGAAGUCACUGACAAACGAGAUCACACUGACUGCUUUGUCGUUUUGGUUUUGUCUUACUCAUUAAUGCAAAUAAGAACAUUCACUAGCAUCUGUGUCGGGCCUACCCUCCCUGGUCAAAUACAGCUACAGUCUCCCUGCAGAAACGAGUUUUCCAGAAAUGAGCCGAUGUUUUCUGCGAGAAUCAAUUGGUCAUAUACAAUUUACAAAAAUGAGUACUGUAUACUAUAUUUGUAAACUGUACACUGCAGAUGCUUUAUUUCACUGAAAUUUAUAAUACACUUAUCCAUGUAUAUGCAUGCAUGCAUUUUUGUUCCUGAGAUCCAGCUGUGAAAUGUUUACCAGCACAUAAAUUACCAGCACAUGCUCUUUUUUGUUAACCUACUAGGUAAAAUCUUCAUUUAUUACAUCAAAUUCUUGUAGUUUUUGUAUUGCAAUUAUGCAGAUAUUGAUUAUCGCAGUAUUACUGCAAUUAUACAGAUACCACAAUUUCAGAUAUUGAUCAGCGUGUUCAGUUGGUUUCUAAGGAGGUUUACUUACCUCAUGGUACACCUAGUUUGCAUAGUUUGAUUAUAUUUAACUCUUAUGCUAAUUGGGGGAAGUCAUUGAUUUAUUGGACAGAUGCACCUGUGGUCUUCCCUGAGCACAUCCUGGCCAAGGAUGCUGCCCCCAGGAGAUUUGAGAAGUCCUGUAAGGAUCAUAUCAGUAUUUUCAAAUACUUAUAGAAAAGCCAGAGGGAUUGACCCAGAAUUACCAAUAUAAGCUUGACCCUGAGAUAACAAUGCCAUUUUAUGUUUGCAUGCAUAAAACCAAUGCAAGAGGCUGAUGACUCCAGAUCCCUUAUAUAAGCCAAUAAAAAGUAGUUUCAUUUUUUAUUUCAUUUAAAAAAGUGUACCAUUAACCUAAA
This 2831-nucleotide long non-coding RNA is filed under the name Homo sapiens (human). RNAcentral describes it as "non-protein coding lnc-FAM20C-3:18". The record is from RNAcentral. Lineage: Eukaryota; Metazoa; Chordata; Mammalia; Primates; Hominidae.